Molecule: long non-coding RNA, 920 nt
Organism: Brassica napus (rape)
Lineage: Eukaryota; Viridiplantae; Streptophyta; Magnoliopsida; Brassicales; Brassicaceae
Exons: 3
Source: RefSeq, a predicted model, not a curated record
UUUACUUUUACACUUUGUUUGAUACCAUAAUUCAACUUUACCAUCACUCUAGAAACAUUUUCAUAAAUACCUAAAUCAUUAAUGGCCAAAUGACUAAACUAACCUUUUUCAAUUUAUCUCUGAUUUUUCCAAUCUCGUCUUCUUCGUCAAGCUUCGGUGCCAUCUUCAUCGAGUCUCGCCGUCGCCGUAUUCAAGAGGCGGCGCUGCUGCUCCUUCCUCCUGAACAGUGUUCUCUCUCCUCUUAUCUCUCAGCUCCGAUGAAUCCUCCCUCCAGCUCCCGCGAUGACGCGUCUUCAGCAAAUCCCGAUGGUGUCCUUCCUGCUUUCUUCUUCUGCACCGACGACUCAGACAGCUCAGCUCAACCAUGGCGUUCACCUAAGUUUGAAGAAUCCCUCAGUUGCACGUGGUUACGAUGGGGAUGGACUUGAGGGUUGUUCCGGCAGAGGAGUGGUGGGAAGAAUGAGGGAGAGAUUCUAGCCUCGAUGGUGAAAGUGACCUAGGCCUUAUGGUUACGGAUUUUCUCGAGAUGGGAGGUGGUGGAAGCGGUGGUGACCUAGGCCUUAUGGUUACGGAUUUUCCGGAUCCUUCUUACCUUUCCGAUAAGAUUCAGAAUAAACGUACAGCAAAGAACAUCAUUGAUUUUGUCAUCUGUACAUAGUUGCUAAUCACAUUCCAAUGGAUAGCACUUGCCUAGAGAAUUGUUUCCAGUGUGCUCUCUUCUGAUGCUUAUAAUGUUCUUGCAACUUCACACCCCUUUGUGGCUGAGGAUUUCCUCACAAUUUCAAGGCUCAUCAAAAUGGUGUAUGAUCACCUUUGUAGCCAAGUUUCUUGCUGCUCUUUAUGCCUUUAUUACUGCAGCAUGUUCGGGUAGCAGUUCACCGAGUGUCUCCUCUGAUUCCCGUGGCUUCAUCUCACCAAUU